Dromaius novaehollandiae (emu) is the source of this 496-nucleotide long non-coding RNA. RefSeq lists it as uncharacterized. The transcript has 3 exons. NCBI's taxonomy places the organism in Eukaryota, Metazoa, Chordata, Aves, Casuariiformes, Dromaiidae. The record is from RefSeq and is a predicted model, not a curated record.
AGUUUCCGAAAGGCAGCCUUCCUCCUUAUCCUUGACGCAGCGGCGGCAUCACUGCAUCCCCCCUCUUCCCCGCAGGAGCAUGCCGUGGAGGCCCGGGGACACCAGGCUGGCAGUGCUGCAGACCCAGGCGGGCCCUGGGACACCCUCUGCAUUGUAGCACCUCAGUGCGAGGUGUACGUGAGCGUGGGCCCCGCAGACGGGACCGAGCGCUGGGACGAGAGUUGGGCAUAUCCCCUGCUCAGCUCCAGAGCAGAGGGCGAGCAGAGAGAAAACAGCGCCGAGCCCAGCACCGACCUCAGGACCUGUGCUGAAACCAAUUCCACACUCACCAGGGACAGGGAAAUGACCAGGCUGUGGGACAGCGUUUUGGGAUCAGGCAAGCGAGACAUGAUGAACUACACGGGCCACAAGGAAGAGGUGCGGAUGCGAGCCCUGCAGGCAGACAGAGCCAGGUGGGGUCAGCCCGUUCCCUCUGCACCCCGGGCAAGAACAGAGU